This 74-nucleotide transfer RNA is filed under the name Haloquadratum sp. J07HQX50. It matches the Rfam family "tRNA". Rfam says of the family: Transfer RNA (tRNA) molecules are approximately 80 nucleotides in length. The record is from Rfam by way of RNAcentral. Lineage: Archaea; Methanobacteriati; Methanobacteriota; Halobacteria; Halobacteriales; Haloferacaceae.
GGGCGCGUAGCUCAGCUGGACAGAGCGUCGGACUUCUAAUCCGACGGUCGCGGGUUCAAAUCCCGUCGCGCCCG